RNAcentral lists this ribosomal RNA (253 nucleotides) under uncultured bacterium. RNAcentral's name for it is "partial 16S ribosomal RNA". It matches the Rfam family "Bacterial small subunit ribosomal RNA", at positions 524 to 776 of the family's 1533-position model. The record is from RNAcentral.
UACGAAGGGGGCUAGCGUUGCUCGGAAUGACUGGGCGUAAAGGGCGCGUAGGCGGUUUGGUUAGUUAGGCGUGAAAUUCCUGGGCUCAACCUGGGGGCUGCGCUUAAUACAGCCAGACUAGAGUGUGAAAGAGGGUCGUGGAAUUCCCAGUGUAGAGGUGAAAUUCGUAGAUAUUGGGAAGAACACCGGUGGCGAAGGCGGCGACCUGGUUCAUUACUGACGCUGAGGCGCGAAAGCGUGGGGAGCAAACAGG